Molecule: long non-coding RNA, 474 nt
Organism: Hippocampus zosterae (dwarf seahorse)
Lineage: Eukaryota; Metazoa; Chordata; Actinopteri; Syngnathiformes; Syngnathidae
Exons: 3
Source: RefSeq, a predicted model, not a curated record
CCUGCGGAUGCCAAGUCGCCUUUCGGUCUCUUUCCAAACAAAGUCCGUCCCGAGAUGCUCAGCCGGCAGUCUGCAGAUUGUAUUUUCCUCUGACUGUCUCGUCACCGGGGAUGCACCACAAUGGGCAAGAACGGGUGUCAUUUCAUCUCAGCCGCCGCCACUGCUCCGCAGGGACAUGCUGAGAGUUGCCUCUUUUAAACCCAGGGAGGGAGAAUGAGUGGAGGAGAAAAGAGAUGAAACAGGGCAUUACACCCCCUCCCCACCUUCGCUCCCCCAGAGGAACUGAGGGAAGAAUAGAAAAGAAAACAACAGCUUGGAUUGACAACCAGCCAUAAUCUACCAAUAUACUCUCAUGGUAUCAACCAUAAGGCAAGUCUUUCUUAUUGCAGGGUACACACAUGCCGAUAAUUUUCUUUUUCUUCCAGUUUAAAGUCAGCAAAAGCCCAAUUGUCAGAUGUCACUAAUGCUAUGCUU